CCUACGGGUGGCAGCAGUGAGGAAUAUUGGUCAAUGGACGAGAGUCUGAACCAGCCAAGUAGCGUGAAGGAUGACUGCCCUAUGGGUUGUAAACUUCUUUUAUAUGGGAAUAAAAUGUUCCACGUGUGGGAUUUUGUACGUACCAUUUGAAUAAGGAUCGGCUAACUCCGUGCCAGCAGCCGCGGUUAUACGGAGGAGCCGGGCGUUAUACGGGUUUAUUGGGGGUAAAGGGAGCGUAGGUGGAUUGGUAAGUCAGUUGUGAAAGUUUGCGGCGCAACCGUAAAAUUGCAGUUGAAACUGGGAGUCGUGAGUACAGUAGAGGUGAGCGGAAUUCGUGGUGUAGCGGUGAAAUGCUUAGAUAUCACGAAGAACUCCGAUUGCGAAGGCAGCUCACUGGACUGCAACUGACACUGAGGCUCGAAAGUGUGGGUAUCAAACAGGAUUAGAUACCCGGGUAGUC
RNAcentral lists this ribosomal RNA (460 nucleotides) under uncultured bacterium. Its description in RNAcentral is "partial 16S ribosomal RNA". It matches the Rfam family "Bacterial small subunit ribosomal RNA", at positions 338 to 795 of the family's 1533-position model. The record is from RNAcentral.